Non-coding RNA from Pelobates cultripes (western spadefoot toad), 834 nucleotides. NCBI's taxonomy places the organism in Eukaryota, Metazoa, Chordata, Amphibia, Anura, Pelobatidae. The record is from the annotation of a GenBank genome assembly.
CCCCCUGGAGUUCGAGACAACCACGGUUCGACAAUAUUUAGCUGGGUUAAUUCUGAGCCUCUAGCUGCCAGAGCUAAAGCUAGAAAGUACGUCAAUUUAAUCGCCGUCCAUUUUAGGUCAAUCUGGUCAUUAAGAAUUAAGCUAGUUACGCCACCCCACUAUCCUGCCUAAUGGAGCCUGAACGGCACUCUGAAUCUCCUCUGACCCGACCCUGUUCCACCCCUUAGACUGGGGGGGGGGGUGAUCCCGGUAUGCGCCCCAUAGCCGCACUCACAGCGUGGCAGCUGAAAUCAGGCAACGACACCAGGCCAUUACACAAGACCAGGGCCCACACUUCAGAUGGCAGAGACCAUAUGCAGAAUAACUGACUGGCAGAGCCUGGAGUAACCAGACUGCCCCUGCUGACCUGCCAGUAACUGCAGCAAACAGCAUAGCGACUCCAUGAUAUACUUGCCCCCGAGGCGGGCGGAGAUGAAGGAGGUGAAACGCUAAGCAAGCGACGGCACCACGACACCCUCCACCAGCAACCAACCCGAAGUUGCCUGCCCUCACAAAGACCCAGGGAGCCGACACUCUGCACCCCCCCCCUCUACUCACCGUAAGGAGUCUCCUGCCCAGCAGCCCUGGAACCGCGAUGCACCCAGCCCGCAGACACGCAGCAGGACGGGGCUACAUUCAUAAAAGGCGCAGAAGGCUCCAGAGGACAUUGGCAGACAUACUGUGGGGAUAUUUAUGGGAUAAUAAUAGUAACAGUGAGAAUUGCCCACUAAUUCAAUUCUCAGAUCCAAAGAUCGUUAUCGUGUUAAGUGAGAAGUAUUUCAUAUAAAUAAUCAC